Molecule: long non-coding RNA, 339 nt
Organism: Mesocricetus auratus (golden hamster)
Lineage: Eukaryota; Metazoa; Chordata; Mammalia; Rodentia; Cricetidae
Exons: 3
Source: RefSeq, a predicted model, not a curated record
UGCCUUAGAUGUACUACUACUUUUGAUUACAAGAGCUAGAAGUAAAUCUAAGAAAAUUCAUGCCAUCUGGGAGAGAUGAAACACCAGCUUGCCGAGCCACUAGGAACCAAUGUGAGUGAUCCUGCAUGGGUAUCAUUCUCAUUUUAUUGCUAAGAAGUUGAGGAUCUUUAAGUGCUAAGAUUUUCCUAUUAUCUUGUGCUUUGGGGGUUGAAUUAUGGAGAUCAAUGAAGCCAGUGUGGAACUUUUGCAUUAAGAAACUUUGGGUGACCAUUCUAGAACCUUCAUCCAGUGACUGUUAGAAGCAAAGACAGAUACCCACAGCUAAACGCUGAACUGAAC